This 495-nucleotide ribosomal RNA is filed under the name uncultured bacterium. RNAcentral describes it as "partial 16S ribosomal RNA". It matches the Rfam family "Bacterial small subunit ribosomal RNA", at positions 28 to 507 of the family's 1533-position model. The record is from RNAcentral.
GAUGAACGCUGGCGGCGUGCCUAAUACAUGCAAGUAGAACGCUGAAGGAGGAGCUUGCUCUUCUGGAUGAGUUGCGAACGGGUGAGUAACGCGUAGGUAACCUGCCUGGUAGCGGGGGAUAACUAUUGGAAACGAUAGCUAAUACCGCAUGACAACAGUUAUUGCAUGAUAACUGUUUAAAAGUGGCAACUGCUCCACUACCAGAUGGACCUGCGUUGUAUUAGCUAGUUGGUGAGGUAACGGCUCACCAAGGCGACGAUACAUAGCCGACCUGAGAGGGUGAUCGGCCACACUGGGACUGAGACACGGCCCAGACUCCUACGGGAGGCAGCAGUAGGGAAUCUUCGGCAAUGGACGGAAGUCUGACCGAGCAACGCCGCGUGAGUGAAGAAGGUUUUCGGAUCGUAAAGCUCUGUUGUAAGAGAAGAACGAGUGUGAGAGUGGAAAGUUCACAGUGUGACGGUAUCUUAACAGAAAGGGACGGCUAACUACGUG